Molecule: small RNA, 1339 nt
Filed under: Arabidopsis thaliana (thale cress)
Lineage: Eukaryota; Viridiplantae; Streptophyta; Magnoliopsida; Brassicales; Brassicaceae
Description: ATSL297350
Source: RNAcentral
CUAAAAAAGUAACCUAUUAAAAUCAACAAAUUAGAUUUGAUAUCUAAAUUAUCAUAUUAAUUUUUUUAUUAAUUAUUAUAGUUCACUUCUCAUCUUUAUAUGAUUCUAUUUUUUCAAAAAAUAAUAUCAUCAUUAUAAAAAAAUAAUUAGAGUUUUUCGCAUAUGCCAUAAUUUGAAUUUUUGAAAACUAAUAUAAACUGUUCAAUACAUGAAAAAAUAUUAUAACGGGUGAAAAAUAGAUUUAAGAAAACUUUCUACUGAGUAACGGGUCAUAAUUUGAAAUAUUUAUAUUCAAUUUCAUACAUAUUAUAUUGAAAAUUUAUAAUCUUAUAUACUACAAUAAUUAAUAACAUAUUAGAUUUUUUUAUGUGUAUGAUGUGAUUCAAUUUUUAAUACAAGCUGGAAAAUCCUAGAAUUAACGGGUUUAGAUCGAUAUUAAUACAAGAUGGUAUAUUACAGGUGAAACUCUUAAAUUAACAAUCAAACUACAAGUGUAUAAUCUUAAACACUAAACAAUAUAGAUAAUAUCAACAAAAUAUAUACAACUCACAGUUUACUUUUAAUAUUUUAUAUACAAAAUCAAUUAAAUCUUAAUCACAUAAAAAUUAGCACAAAAAAAAGUAUUCAACAAUUAAAAUUUUAUCAAAUCUCUGUGUUAUAUAAGUUUUGAUACUAUAUUCGAAUAAAGUGUAAUAUACCUUUUCAAUUUGUAUUCUUUAACUAAUUUAAGCUAAUUAAUAUAUUUACUAAUCUUAUACCUAUCAAAACCGACUAUCGUUUCUUAUUUCUAUAGUAUUUUUGCAAGACUUUUUUGGUGGAUUUGGGUAAAAGUGCAUUCGGUCAUAUGGUACAUUCCCCUAUUAAAUAAAAAUGGUAUACUCCUAUGUUAUUAGCUAAAAUGUUUAGAUUAUAAUUCAGAGUCAUAUCAUUAAUAAAAUUAAUAUUAAUAAAAUAAAUGGCUUUUUGGCAAGACGGAUUUGGAGUGACGGGUUUUUGAAUCAACAUUAAUAAAAAAAUAAAAUAUAAUUAAUACACCGUUUCAAUACGGGUUUAGACCACUAAUAUUAAACAUAUCAAAUCAUCCUAAUUUAGAAAAGAUUAUAUAAAACCAAAAAUGUUAUGUGGUAUGUAUAAUGUUACCAUAUAUAAAAUAUAAAUGUAUUAGAGAAUGAUAUAAUUUGCAAAACUUUUAUCUAUAAAAAAAAUUCUUAAAUUUUAAAAAUUACUACUUUAAAAAAAAAUCACGGGACGGGUUAAGAAAUUAUAGAACGGGUUUUAUUUUGGAAUUAAGUUAUAUGGUAGAUGUAUUUGAAUCAAUAUUUAUAAAAUUUUAAAAUAU